CGCAUAUCACUACUAUGUAUAGUUUCUCUGUUUGACCUAUCCUCCAAAUUAUUAAUAGCGUUAAAAUCCCCCGUUAAGAGGAGGGGGUCUUGAACACUAGAGUGCACUUUUCUUAGCUCAGUCCACAACUCUCUUCUUCUCUCAACUGUAUUCAUGUCAUAGACAUCUACAAAUUAAAAUCUUACAUUCUGUCUUCUUACCACUCCAAAAAUACAUUAUUCAUAUAUAAUUUUCACAGUGAAGCUUAGGUUGUGCAGAUUCCAUAGCAUCCAAAUUCUCCUUUUAUCAUGGGAGUUAAAAUUUGCAACCCAAUUCCAUUCAUUUGCUAAUCUCUUUAUUAUAGUCGAAGCACGUUCUCAUUGAUUUUAUGCUCUACUAUAGCUAAUAGUCUACUUUAUUUUCAUGUAUAAACAUCCUUAACUCUCUUUGCCUAUGAUCUUUAUUCAGCCCUCUAACAUUCCACGUGAUCAUCUUCAUUUGGAC
RNAcentral lists this long non-coding RNA (483 nucleotides) under Capsicum annuum. RNAcentral's name for it is "long non-coding RNA (CANN_LNC001015)". The record is from RNAcentral. Lineage: Eukaryota; Viridiplantae; Streptophyta; Magnoliopsida; Solanales; Solanaceae.